AGCACUACCGGCCAUCAUCACCAUCGCAGGUUUUACCAUGGUUAUGACAACUAUAUGACUUAUGCUUUUCCGCAUGAUGAACUAAAGCCUCUAGCCAAAACAUUCACCGACUCCCUUGUCCAGCUACGAAAUUUGAAGCUUGAACAUUUGCCACAACAGCAUCAUGGAUCUGCCCUCACACUUGUAGAAUCGCUAUCCAGCCUUGUUAUCAUUGGGGAACAACACAGAAUUUGAAACGGGCUGUUCUUUGGCUUCCUGAAAAUCUAACUUUUCAUGUUGAUGCGAGGAUACAUCUUCUUCAG
This is a non-coding RNA of Camellia sinensis, 302 nucleotides long. NCBI's taxonomy places the organism in Eukaryota, Viridiplantae, Streptophyta, Magnoliopsida, Ericales, Theaceae. The record is from RefSeq and is a predicted model, not a curated record.